RNAcentral lists this ribosomal RNA (504 nucleotides) under uncultured bacterium. Its description in RNAcentral is "partial 16S ribosomal RNA". It matches the Rfam family "Bacterial small subunit ribosomal RNA", at positions 28 to 507 of the family's 1533-position model. The record is from RNAcentral.
GACGAACGCUGGCGGCGUGCUUAACACAUGCAAGUCGAACGGUGAAGCGCUUGCCUUUUUGGUGGGUGUGGAUGAGUGGCGAACGGGUGAGUAACACGUGAGUAACCUGCCCUCUUCUUCUGGAUAACCUCAUGAAAGUGGGGCUAAUACGGGGUAUUCCGGGUCUGUCGCAUGGCGGGUUUGGGAAAGAUUGCGCCUUUGGGUGUUUUCGGUGGGGGAUGGGCUCGCGGCCUAUCAGCUUGUUGGUGGGGUGAUGGCCUACCAAGGCGGUGACGGGUAGCCGGCCUGAGAGGGUGGACGGCCACACUGGGACUGAGACACGGCCCAGACUCCUGCGGGAGGCAGCAGUGAGGAAUAUUGCACAAUGGGCGCAAGCCUGAUGCAGCGACGCCGCGUGAGGGAUGGAGGCCUUCGGGUUGUGAACCUCUUUCGCCAGUGAAGCAGGCCUGCUCCUGUGUGGGUGGGUUGACGGUAGCUGGAUAAGAAGCGCCGGCUAACUACGUG